This 253-nucleotide ribosomal RNA is filed under the name uncultured bacterium. RNAcentral describes it as "partial 16S ribosomal RNA". It matches the Rfam family "Bacterial small subunit ribosomal RNA", at positions 524 to 776 of the family's 1533-position model. The record is from RNAcentral.
UACGUAGGGUGCGAGCGUUGUCCGGAAUUAUUGGGCGUAAAGAGCUUGUAGGCGGUUUGUCGCGUCUGCCGUGAAAGCCCAGGGCUUAACCCUGGGUCUGCGGUGGGUACGGGCAGACUAGAGUGUGGUAGGGGAGACUGGAAUUCCUGGUGUAGCGGUGAAAUGCGCAGAUAUCAGGAGGAACACCGAUGGCGAAGGCAGGUCUCUGGGCCAUUACUGACACUGAGAAGCGAAAGCAUGGGGAGCGAACAGG